UCGAGAAUUUUUCACAAUGGGCGCAAGCCUGAUGGAGCGACGCCGCGUGGGGGAUGAAGGGUUUCGAUCCGUAAACCCCUGUCAUUUGCGAACAAACCUUGAAGGUGAACACCUUUCAAGCUGAUUGUAGCGGAAGAGGAAGGGACGGCUAACUCUGUGCCAGCAGCCGCGGUAAUACAGAGGUCCCAAGCGUUGUUCGGAUUCACUGGGCGUAAAGGGUGCGUAGGUGGCCUUGUAAGUUCGAUGUGAAAGCUCGGAGCUUAACUCCGAAAUGGCAUUGAAUACUAUAGGGCUGGAGGGUCGGAAGGGAGACUGGAAUUCUCGGUGUAGCAGUGAAAUGCGUAGAUAUCGAGAGGAACACCAGUGGCGAAGGCGAGUCUCUGGACGACACCUGACACUGAGGCACGAAAGCCAAGGGAGCAAACAGGAUUAGAUACCCGCGUAGUCC
RNAcentral lists this ribosomal RNA (448 nucleotides) under uncultured bacterium. RNAcentral describes it as "bacterial SSU rRNA". It matches the Rfam family "Bacterial small subunit ribosomal RNA", at positions 355 to 796 of the family's 1533-position model. The record is from RNAcentral.